Molecule: ribosomal RNA, 1218 nt
Filed under: seawater metagenome
Description: bacterial LSU rRNA
Rfam family: Bacterial large subunit ribosomal RNA
Source: RNAcentral
AAAUUGACCGUACCCUAAACCGACACCGGUGAACGAGUCGAGUAGACUCAGGCGUUGAGAGAACCAUAUUGAAGGAACUCGGCAAAUUUUUCCUGUACCUUUGGAAGAAAGGAAGCCAAUUUUGGUGACACAAAAAUGGGGGUGACGACUUUUUACUAAAAAAUUAGGACUCUGCAAAAUGGGAACAUGAAGUAUAGGGUCUGACGUCUGCCCGGUGCUAGAAGUAUAAAAGGAGUGUUGAAAGAUACGAAUGGAAAGCCUAGUAAACGGCGGUUGUAACUAUAACAAUCAUAAAGUAGCGAAAUUCAUUGUCAGCUAAUUCCUGACCUGCAUGAAAGGCGUAACGAUUGCCCCACUGUCUCCAGUGUGGACUCAGUGAAAUUGAAUUCUCCGUGCAGAUGCGGAGUACGUGCCCCAAGACGAGAAGACCCUGUGCAUCUUUACUGUACAUUUACAUUGACAAAACCAUACGUAUGUGUAGGAUAGGUGGGAGUACAAACAUCCUUGAAAUACCACCCUUACUAUGUUUUUUGUCUAACAUCGGAGAUAGACAAUGUAUGUGAGGCAGUUUGACUGGGGCGGUCGCCUCCUAAAGAGUAACGGAGGCGUGCGAAGGUAAACUCAAUGUAGAUCGGAAACCUACUGAAGAGCGUAAUGGUAUAUGUUUGCCUGACUGCAAGAUUUACAGAUCGAGCAGAGACGAAAGUCGGUCAUAAUGAUCCACAAGUACUGCGUGGAAAGGCUUGUGCUUAACGAAUCAAAGAUACGCCAGGGAUAACAGGCUGAUAAUUCCCUAGAGUCCAUAUCGACGGAAUUGUUUGGCACCUCGAUGUUGACUGAUCAUAUCCUGGGGCUGAAGAAGGUCCCAAGGGUUCGGCUGUUCGCCGAGUAACAUGGUACCUGAGUUGAGUUUAGAACGUCGUGAGACAGUUUGGAUUCUACCUGGGGUGCGCGUAAGAAUUGAGAAAACCACAUCCUUGUACGAGAGGACCGGAUGUGUACAACCUCUGGUAUAGUAAUUGUCCGGCCACGGGCAUGGUUACUACGCUACGUUGUGAAAGGAUAAGUACUGAAAGCAUAUCAAGUACGAAACUUUUUUCAAGACAUAUUCUUUAUCGUAUUGUAUAUCGUACAAGUUGAGUACGUUAAUAGAUAAGCUGUGUAUUAUUUGUAAAAAUAGAAGCAUCCUUAUACUAAACUAUACAUUUUUUUUUCUGU